This 491-nucleotide ribosomal RNA is filed under the name uncultured bacterium. Its description in RNAcentral is "partial 16S ribosomal RNA". It matches the Rfam family "Bacterial small subunit ribosomal RNA", at positions 28 to 507 of the family's 1533-position model. The record is from RNAcentral.
GAUGAACGCUGGCUACAGGCUUAACACAUGCAAGUCGAGGGGAAACGCCGGGGAAGCUUGCUUCCCCGGGCGUCGACCGGCGCACGGGUGAGUAACGCGUAUCCAACCUGCCUCUGACUGAGGGAUAACCCGUCGAAAGUCGGCCUAAUACCUCAUGGCAUCGUCUGCGGGCAUCCAACGACGAUUAAAGAUUUCAUCGGUCAGAGAUGGGGAUGCGUCUGAUUAGCUUGUUGGCGGGGUAACGGCCCACCAAGGCGACGAUCAGUAGGGGUUCUGAGAGGAAGGUCCCCCACAUUGGAACUGAGACACGGUCCAAACGCCUACGGGAGGCAGCAGUGAGGAAUAUUGGUCAAUGGGCGAGAGCCUGAACCAGCCAAGUAGCGUGCAGGAUGACGGCCCUAUGGGUUGUAAACUGCUUUUAUGCGGGGAUAAAGUGAGGGACGUGUCCUUCAUUGCAGGUACCGCAUGAAUAAGGACCGGCUAAUUCCGUG